Long non-coding RNA from Apis florea (little honeybee), 771 nucleotides. Lineage: Eukaryota; Metazoa; Arthropoda; Insecta; Hymenoptera; Apidae. The record is from RefSeq and is a predicted model, not a curated record.
GAGAGAGAGAGAGAGAGAGAGAGAGAGAGAGAGAGAGAGAGAAAGAGAGGAGGGGAGGGGGCGGGGGGUCGAUUUGUUCGCUGUAUCGUCGCUGGAAAUGAAACGAAAUAUGAACUUUGAAAAUCGCGGUUAUUUCUCGACGAUUCGCAAUCGUUCGAUCUCUCGUUCACUCCAAUACGCGUGAAACGCGAACGAACACCCGUAAUAUUUGCAUUUCGUUCGUCUAACGUAUCGACAGAGUUCUUCUCUCGCGAUCAUUCUGAUUGGUUGAUAAUAUUUAUCGAAUGGUAAGGAAGAAGAGGAAGCAGACGACAUAAACUCGCAUACCGCUAUCGUUCUUCGCAUUGGCACAAUUCCUCUCGUUCGAGAUGUCGCGAUUCUUGAAUAAGUUCUCGUCUUUGACGAAAGGCGCGCGUGGAUUUACCGUUGUCGAAGUGAUCGUGUGUUUGCUGUAAACGAUUCUCACGGUACUUUUUUGCAUCGCUGGUGUACUCAUCUGAUGAAAAACUCGAUUCUUAGUAACUUGAGCAAACUUUGAUUUUCCCUUGCUCAACUUCCAACUGGCCGAGGUGGUCCGUAUGGUUGCUCGUUCGAUUUCUGAAAACAUUUCCCCUAUAUCGUGUAUCGUGUAACGAGAAGAAAGAUUCGAAGUGGAGGGGGGCAUUCUUAGAUUCACGUGCAAAAACGAAUGAUGGCACGUGAACGUUGUAUAAAGUUCGAUAUCGAAGUUUGUUGGUUAUUCGAGUGGAUGGUUCGAAAGAAGGGCAAGAG